UGCUAUUUUGAAUGUCCUAUUUGACAAAAUA
This 31-nucleotide non-coding RNA is filed under the name Mus musculus (house mouse). The record is from RNAcentral. Lineage: Eukaryota; Metazoa; Chordata; Mammalia; Rodentia; Muridae.